RNAcentral lists this ribosomal RNA (253 nucleotides) under uncultured bacterium. RNAcentral describes it as "partial 16S ribosomal RNA". It matches the Rfam family "Bacterial small subunit ribosomal RNA", at positions 524 to 776 of the family's 1533-position model. The record is from RNAcentral.
UACGUAGGGACCAAGCGUUGUUCGGAUUUACUGGGCGUAAAGGGCGCGUAGGCGGCAAUUCAAGUCAUCUGUGAAAUCUCCGGGCUUAACUCGGAACGGUCAGAUGAUACUGCUUUGCUAGAGUACAGAAGGGGCAAUCGGAAUUCUUGGUGUAGCGGUGAAAUGCGUAGAUAUCAAGAGGAACACCUGAGGUGAAGACGGGUUGCUGGGCUGAUACUGACGCUGAGGCGCGGAAGCUAGGGUAGCAAACGGG